UACGAAGGGGGCUAGCGUUGUUCGGAAUUACUGGGCGUAAAGCGCGUGUAGGCGGGUCUUUAAGUCAGGGGUGAAAUGCCAAGGCUCAACCUUGGAACUGCCUUUGAUACUGGAGAUCUUGAGUCCGAGAGAGGUGAGUGGAAUUGCGAGUGUAGAGGUGAAAUUCGUAGAUAUUCGCAAGAACACCAGUGGCGAAGGCGGCUCACUGGCUCGGAACUGACGCUGAGACGCGAAAGCGUGGGGAGCAAACAGG
This 253-nucleotide ribosomal RNA is filed under the name uncultured bacterium. RNAcentral's name for it is "partial 16S ribosomal RNA". It matches the Rfam family "Bacterial small subunit ribosomal RNA", at positions 524 to 776 of the family's 1533-position model. RNAcentral also lists the same sequence under 1 other name. The record is from RNAcentral.